GCCAGCCCCGCCGAGGCAUCCCGCACCGCCUGGGCCCGGCUGGGCUGGGGGCGCCGACGCAGCAGCCGCGGGGUCGGGAGGCGGCCGGGAGGGAGGCAGGGCCCAGGACGCAAGGUGGCGACAAGUCGCGUUUGGCCCCGGGGCCUGUGGGGUCACCUUCUCUUCCUCUCUUCUGCCACCCCAAGUCGUCUGUGUUGCGUGUCAUGCAGUGGGAGAGCACCUUGGUCCGGACCUCAAGCUACCCACGUUCUAGUCCUGCCUCUGUCAUUUCCUAGAGCUGUGGCCUCGGGUAAGUCACCUCACCUCUCUGGGCCUCAGUUUCCUCAUUUGUAAAGUGAUGGGUUUGCUUAGAUGAUCGCUG
Molecule: long non-coding RNA, 361 nt
Filed under: Rhinopithecus bieti (black snub-nosed monkey)
Lineage: Eukaryota; Metazoa; Chordata; Mammalia; Primates; Cercopithecidae
Description: lncRNA (ENSRBIG00000045297.1)
Source: RNAcentral